GAUGAACGCUGGCGGCGUGCCUAACACAUGCAAGUCGAGCGGAGAAUCAGAAGUAGUAAUACGGACGGUUCUUAGCGGCGGACGGGUGAGUAACACGUGAGUAAUCUGCCUUCUGCAGGGGAAUAACAUUGUGAAAACAGUGCUAAUACCGCAUGACAUAGUAUCGGGGCAUCCCGGGACUAUCAAAGGAGUAAUCCGGCAGAAGAUGAACUCGCGUCCGAUUAGCUAGUUGGCGGGGUAACGGCCCACCAAGGCGACGAUCGGUAGCCGAACUGAGAGGUUGAUCGGCCACAUUGGGACUGAGACACGGCCCAGACUCCUACGGGAGGCAGCAGUGGGGAAUAUUGGGCAAUGGGGGCAACCCUGACCCAGCAACGCCGCGUGAAGGACGAAGGCCUUCGGGUUGUAACGUUACUUUGUAUCAGGGACGAAGUAAAUAGACGGUACCUGAAGAACAAGACCACGGCUAACUAACGUGCCAGCAGCGCGGUAAACGUAGACGUG
RNAcentral lists this ribosomal RNA (504 nucleotides) under uncultured bacterium. RNAcentral's name for it is "bacterial SSU rRNA". It matches the Rfam family "Bacterial small subunit ribosomal RNA", at positions 28 to 533 of the family's 1533-position model. The record is from RNAcentral.